Molecule: ribosomal RNA, 213 nt
Filed under: Alteromonas sp. MED58
Lineage: Bacteria; Pseudomonadati; Pseudomonadota; Gammaproteobacteria; Alteromonadales; Alteromonadaceae
Description: partial 16S ribosomal RNA
Rfam family: Bacterial small subunit ribosomal RNA
Source: RNAcentral
UAACACAUGCAAGUCGAACGGUAACAGGAUGUGCUUGCACAUCGCUGACGAGUGGCGGACGGGUGAGUAAUGCUUGGGAACUUGCCUUUGCGAGGGGGAUAACAGUUGGAAACGACUGCUAAUACCGCAUAAUGUCUACGGACCAAACGGGGCUUCGACUCCCGCGCAGAGAGAGGCCCCAGUGAAAUUAACUAAUUGGUGAGGUAAAGGCUC